UACGUAGGGUACAAGCGUUGUCCGGAAUUAUUGGGCGUAAAGAGCUCGUAGGCGGUUUGUUGCGUCGGCUGUGAAAUCCCGAGGCUCAACCUCGGGUCUGCAGUCGAUACGAGCAAACUAGAGUGCUGCAGGGGAGACUGGAAUUCCUGGUGUAGCGGUGAAAUGCGCAGAUAUCAGGAGGAACACCGGUGGCGAAGGCGGGUCUCUGGGCAACAACUGACGCUGAGGAGCGAAAGCGUGGGGAGCGAACAGG
RNAcentral lists this ribosomal RNA (253 nucleotides) under uncultured bacterium. Its description in RNAcentral is "partial 16S ribosomal RNA". It matches the Rfam family "Bacterial small subunit ribosomal RNA", at positions 524 to 776 of the family's 1533-position model. The record is from RNAcentral.